GAGUUUGAUCUUGGCUCAGAACGAACGCUGGCGGCAGGCCUAACACAUGCAAGUCGAGCGCUGUAGCAAUACAGAGCGGCGCACGGGAGAGUAACGCGUGGGAACCUUCCUUUUGGUUCGGAAUAACAUCGGGAAACUGGUGCUAAUACCGGAUAAGCCCCUCGGGGGAAAGAUUUAUCGCCGAAAGAUGGGCCCGCGUUGGAUUAGCUAGUUGGUGAGGUAAUGGCUCACCAAGGCGACGAUCCAUAGCUGGUCUGAGAGGAUGAUCAGCCUCACUGGGACUGAGACACGGCCCAGACUCCUACGGGAGGCAGCAGUGGGGAAUAUUGGACAAUGGGGGCAACCCUGAUCCAGCCAUGCCGCGUGAAUGAUGAAGGCCUCGG
RNAcentral lists this ribosomal RNA (383 nucleotides) under uncultured Alphaproteobacteria bacterium. RNAcentral's name for it is "bacterial SSU rRNA". It matches the Rfam family "Bacterial small subunit ribosomal RNA", at positions 9 to 420 of the family's 1533-position model. Lineage: Bacteria; Pseudomonadati; Pseudomonadota; Alphaproteobacteria. The record is from RNAcentral.